RNAcentral lists this ribosomal RNA (465 nucleotides) under uncultured bacterium. RNAcentral's name for it is "partial 16S ribosomal RNA". It matches the Rfam family "Bacterial small subunit ribosomal RNA", at positions 28 to 507 of the family's 1533-position model. The record is from RNAcentral.
GACGAACGCUGGCGGCGUGCUUAACACAUGCAAGUCGAACGGAAAGGCCCUGCUUGCAGGGUACUCGAGUGGCGAACGGGUAAGUAACACGUGGGUGAUCUGCCCUGCACUUCGGGAUAAGCUUGGGAAACUGGGUCUAAUACCGGAUAGGAACCAUCUUUAGUGUGGUGGUUGGAAAGUUUUUUCGGUGUAGGAUGAGCUCGCGGCCUAUCAGCUUGUUGGUGGGGUAAUGGCCUACCAAGGCGGCGACGGGUAGCCGGCCUGAGAGGGUGUACGGCCACAUUGGGACUGAGAUACGGCCCAGACUCCUACGGGAGGCAGCAGUGGGGAAUAUUGCACAAUGGGCGCAAGCCUGAUGCAGCGACGCCGCGUGGGGGAUGAAGGCCUUCGGGUUGUAAACUCCUUUCGCUAGGGACGAAGCUUUUUGUGACGGUACCUAGAUAAGAAGCACCGGCUAACUACGUG